UUUGGUCCCAUUACCCAUCCUUCCUUCCCAGCACAUUUCAAUUUCCCUAAAACAACCCAGCAGCCGCCCCAGGCCCAUUUUUAUUUCCUCUUCUACCAGCCCAUUUUUCCAAUUUCCCCUUCUUCCUCUUCGCCAAAGAUCUCCAGCAGUAGCGCUGGACGAUCCUCACCCUCCCUCCUCUUCACGCGUGUUCGAUCCCUUUCCCUACGUAUUUCCCUCAUUCUUUAGGCGCAUGAGCAGUCCCUCCUCAACGGCGAAGAGGAACAAGGGAAAAUACGAUUCUUCCCUCAUUUUUUUUGAUCUUUUUCCUUCUUCGUUUCUUUUUCUGCCGACACCCCUAUAAAAAGGAUGCUCUCCCUUCAGUUGAAAUAGAUAGAAAAAAGGGGAAAGAAAGAAAAUAUAGAUAAAAAGGGAGUAAAGAGAAAGGUGUUACGGAGGAAUAUCGCUACAAGUUUCCAACCAUAUCGCUACACAUAAGUAUUUUGAGAUAGUUUCUUGAAACCAUAGAGACGUUCGUCACUGUCCUAUCUCUACCUACAAGGAGUUCUAUAUCGCCUUUCGAGUUUCACUGUUGUGGUGGAAGACCUCACCGUUAUUUGCUGUUCCGGUUGGCUGCUCUAAAACAGUUGUCGUAUGGGGGUAGAAGCAUUUACAUGUUCGAGUUGUGGCUAUCUUGGAGGAGGAAUUUACUCUUCGUCCUACAGCUAAGCCUUCUCUUUAUCGUGAUUUUGGUUAUCGAGUGGUUUUCGCGUAUAUGCCCUUUAUAUGUGUUCAGUGGCUUAAACGAUGGAAAGGGAUCAAUGCCCCUCUGUGCUUGAUCUGCAGUCUGUUUGCUGCUCACUGUCACAUGGUUUUCUUUGGGUUUGAAAUGGUUUAUAUAGCCUUAAAUUAUCACUAAUAAUCUAGAUGGAUGAUGGCUUUGCUUUAUUCUUUUGAACAUUUGUUUAGUGCUCCAUAGUCCCCUGUUUUGCUUUCAUAUGGGAUAUAUAUUGAGAUUUCGUAUCCCUUUUCUAGCUCAUAUUUUCUAAGUAGCUCACAUCUUCUAUUUUUGUUUUGUUCUAAUCAUUUGAUUAAGGUGCUAAUUCUCCUUUUGUUUGUUUUAUUGCAUGGGAAAUUCUCCUCGAGUCCUCAUGGACUUUAAUCCAUCUUGUUGCACUUCCUCAUUGAGCCAUAAAGGCUCAAAACAUCUUCUUCGAGUCGUAGACCCCCCUCAUAACUGGCGUACAGGUUGUGAAACCAGCAGAUGCAGUGCUGAAAAUUAAAUUUGCAGAUGUUGAGAAGCUGUCUACCAGCUAUAUACAUAUUUUAUACACCGAUAUACAGGUUGAAAUGUGCACAGGAAGCCAAAUUUGAAAUCUGGAUUGAUAGCAGUGAAAAUAUGCUGCUGAAAAAGAACUUUCAACUUUCGAAAGUUGAAAAACAGGCUGAUAUAUCAUCCGUAUACACUAAUAUACAUACACGCUAUGCCAAAUAGGUGUAAAAAAUGCAAAUUGCAGGUUUAAAGUACAAGGACGGCAAUUUCAAGUAAAAUAAAGGAAUAGUGAAUGAAUAUGUGCAUAGGAUAUAGCCCGUAUACAUUGGUAUACAUCAUUUGGGCAGCGAUAUACAAAUGUUAAAAUAGUAUAAAAAUUGUACAGGUAUAAAUACGCCGAAAUAAUAUGGAAAAUACAGGUGGAAUCGCGAGAAUUCGUAUUCAAACAGAUUACAGGGCUCAAAAGGUCCAAAACGGAAUUGGAUAUACACCAUACACAACAGUAUACAUCAUUUGUAUAUCCUAUUUCUUUUUUCAGGAAAAUGGGCCAGGGCCCUUUCAGCAAAAAUUUUUAGUGUAAAUUAGGUAAAGGGAAAAUAACUUGUGUGUCUAUUUUUU
Molecule: non-coding RNA, 1870 nt
Organism: Solanum lycopersicum (tomato)
Lineage: Eukaryota; Viridiplantae; Streptophyta; Magnoliopsida; Solanales; Solanaceae
Source: RefSeq, a predicted model, not a curated record